CAAUGAGGACUCUGUCACUACCAUAAAAGUCAUGAAGGAAGAAAAGGAGAAGGAAGCCAUAAGCUUGACUACUAAAGGCAUAAAAAAGAAAAAGGAGAAGAAAGUCCUAGGCUUGACUACUAAAGGCAUAAAAAAGAAA
Long non-coding RNA from Macrobrachium nipponense, 139 nucleotides. RefSeq lists it as uncharacterized. The record is from RefSeq and is a predicted model, not a curated record. The transcript has 3 exons. NCBI's taxonomy places the organism in Eukaryota, Metazoa, Arthropoda, Malacostraca, Decapoda, Palaemonidae.